RNAcentral lists this ribosomal RNA (615 nucleotides) under Penicillium citrinum. RNAcentral describes it as "partial large subunit ribosomal RNA". It matches the Rfam family "Eukaryotic large subunit ribosomal RNA", at positions 37 to 668 of the family's 3401-position model. Lineage: Eukaryota; Fungi; Ascomycota; Eurotiomycetes; Eurotiales; Aspergillaceae. The record is from RNAcentral.
UGCAUAUCAAAAGCGGAGGAAAAGAAACCAACCGGGAUUGCCCUAGUAACGGCGAGUGAAGCGGCAAGAGCUCAAAUUUGAAAGCUGGCCCCCUCGGGGUCCGCAUUGUAAUUUGCAGAGGAUGCUUCGGGAACGGCCCCCAUCUAAGUGCCCUGGAACGGGCCGUCAUAGAGGGUGAGAAUCCCGUCUGGGAUGGGGUGGCCGCGCCCGUGUGAAGCUCCUUCGACGAGUCGAGUUGUUUGGGAAUGCAGCUCUAAUUGGGUGGUAAAUUUCAUCUAAAGCUAAAUAUUGGCCGGAGACCGAUAGCGCACAAGUAGAGUGAUCGAAAGAUGAAAAGCACUUUGAAAAGAGAGUUAAACAGCACGUGAAAUUGUUGAAAGGGAAGCGCUUGCGACCAGACUCGCCCGCGGGGUUCAGCCGGCACUCGUGCCGGUGUACUUCCCCGCGGGCGGGCCAGCGUCGGUUUGGGCGGCCGGUCAAAGGCCUCUGGAAGGUAACGCCUCUCGGGGCGUCUUAUAGCCAGGGGUGCCAUGCGGCCUGCCCGGACCGAGGAACGCGCUUCGGCUCGGACGCUGGCAUAAUGGUCGUAAGCGACCCGUCUUGAACCACGGACCA